UCAGCCUGCUUUGAAUGCCACACCUCAGACCUUUCUUCUGUAUUGUGAGGAGCCUUGUGUCUCCCCAUUCUGCUGAAGCAGGGAAAGGAAAAUCUCAAUGAGCUGCACCUUUCACAGCACAGUUGUACUGGGAGGUGUUUCUGGACCUUGGUGUCCUUCCUGUGCCACCUCUUGUCUGAGCUGAGGCAUCCUCCUACAUGGAGAAAGGAGCUGCAAAAAUUGCUGGUCAAUCCAUUCUUCUUCAUGCCUUGUCAACCCUUGCUAAGAGAGGGACAUUCCCCCCCAUAAGUCACAACUUAGGAUCAUCUUCUCGUGGUGGCUUUUAAAAAAGAAGGCUUUACUGCCUUUGCUUCAGCCUUUCAGUGAUCCUUUGAGAUCCCACGUGUGUUUGUGACCAUUCCUGAGCCCCAAGCUGGAACUUCUAAAGCACUACCAGCAGCAACCCCAAGCAAAAUCAUGGAUGACUGAGAGCAGAAGGAAGCACCGUGUGCUCACAGAGUGGAGAACUGCACGUGCAGGUCCUUUGGAUUCCUCGUGCAGAUUAAGGAGUGUCCCUGUAGAGCUGAAACACAGCAGCAGAGCUUCUGGGGUAAAUCAGAUCCCAUCUCCCUGCAGAGCACCAGCAAUGGAAGAAUAGCACUGGGCUGGCAUUAGAGCUGCUCUGUUGGGCUGUGAUCCACCUGCGGUGCCCUGCCCAGCAAACCCAGGAGGGAUUUGGAGCAUCUGUGUCUGCCUGGUUAGGACUUGCUCAGAAGAAUUCCAUGUGUGUGCAUGAAGGAAUGAACAUAAACCCAUCUUCGCUGCCAUUUUCCUGAAUCCUCACCUCCCUACUUAGUGUUUCCAAAGAUAUCUUUGCAUCUGCUCACAGACCAUCUCAGGAGUGAUUUUUGGAGAUGAACAGGCUUUGCUGCUUCUACAUCAACUUUAGUUUUCCCUGUGGCAUCCUGGAUUUGUUUAAACCUGAAGUUCCAGAAGGGCAAAACUGUGGCAGAAGGCUGUUGAAACAUGCGCAAACUGGCAAGGAAAACAUACUCCAUCUUACUGAGAAGACCAAAGGUUUUCUAUGUCUUAAAAUUCUCCCUCACUUUUGUAAGGGUUUGAGUGCAAACUCAGAACCCUAACUUUAGAAAUUCAUGUCUCUUAGUUAUUUUAUUUAUAAAGAGCAGAAGCUCUUCUGUGUCCUGCUAAAUAAUUUUUGACCUUUGAAAAUCAGAAGUUGAGGUGUGAUCCAGCUCUGUAGUUACAGUACUGAACUUGGGAUUAAACUUGGAUUUUUCAUGGCUAUUCAGGCAUCAAAGCUUUUGCUCUGUGCAUGUGCGGUUUGUAGGAAGAGUUACAAAACAAGGCAAUACAAAAUCUGGUGGGGUAUUUGGUCAGAAAACAGCUCUACAAGUCUCCUUCGUGAGUCAUGGCUUCUGUAAACUUAUGAAAAAUUAGGUCUGAUUGUAAACUGAAAUAUUUAUCAAAGAAAUGGGAAUUUUUGGAAUCUGGAACCUUGUGUCAAAAGGCAAACACUGUACCAGUUUUGGCCAGUGGCUGCUCAAGGAUCAGAAAACAUGGAAGAGAGCAGCAUGUGAGCCUGCAGAGCUGCUACUGUCUCUGGCAGGCAAUGAAGAUUUCUCUUUCAGGAGAAAAGUUUUGAUAGCCAACAGCUUCUAAGGUUUUCAUAGUACCCAUGCCAAACCUUAAUUGGUUGUUUUAAUCAAAUGCCUCUUGGUUUUUGGCUUUGUGAAGUUUCUUGUUAAGUAUAAGAAUUUCCCAGUGAUCUGACUUGAUCUUUAGAGAUGAGAGUAUAUAUUUUUAUGCAUGUAUGUGUAUAUAUAUAUGUAUGUAUAUAUAAACACACAAAUACAUAUGCUGCUUAAUGUUGUCUUUUUCUGUCUCAGAAGUCUUGUGUUGAGAUGCAUGGUGUACAGAGGCAUUAAAAACACCCAUGGACAUCC
This is a long non-coding RNA of Serinus canaria (Common canary), 1943 nucleotides long. RefSeq lists it as uncharacterized. The record is from RefSeq and is a predicted model, not a curated record. NCBI's taxonomy places the organism in Eukaryota, Metazoa, Chordata, Aves, Passeriformes, Fringillidae. The transcript is spliced from 4 exons.